Molecule: non-coding RNA, 432 nt
Filed under: uncultured Prevotella sp.
Lineage: Bacteria; Pseudomonadati; Bacteroidota; Bacteroidia; Bacteroidales; Prevotellaceae
Source: RNAcentral
CUCCAAAAUACUCACCAUCGCCUAAAAGAGCUAUGCGCAACUCUUCACCGUGGGGGCCGCGACUGAUGACUUCGGCCUGACCAUUGGCUACGAUGAAAAACUUUUGUUUGUCCUUUCCCUCCUCAACAAAUAGUUGACCUAUUUCCAACUCUUUCGUCUCAAAUGAUUGAGCAAGUCUGUUUACUAUCUCGUCUUCGAAUUCCGAAAACAGAGGGAUAGCCUUCAGGCUCUUGGCUGAAAAUGAUGGCUCGCCGUUGAGGUACUGGAUGGGCAAGCGCUCGCUUUUUCGAAGCUCCACCUUGGUGCGGUUGACACGGAAUGUGCCGCCGCUGACUUGCACCCAAGGCAACAGUUUCAACAGUAGUCUCGGGGUGAUACUGCCCAUCUGAGGAGCAGUUUUGGUAGUUGUCGCCAAUCUUCUGGCGGUGGCAG